Molecule: long non-coding RNA, 429 nt
Organism: Alosa sapidissima (American shad)
Lineage: Eukaryota; Metazoa; Chordata; Actinopteri; Clupeiformes; Clupeidae
Exons: 3
Source: RefSeq, a predicted model, not a curated record
AAUUGAUCCAGGUGCAUCCCCUCAGCCGAUAAUCUUUCUUCCCUAGCGAUUGGCCACACAGCUUCGGCACGCCUUUUAAAUUCUACCCACUUCCUCUCAACCAUAUACAGCUCGGUUUUUGCUACCCACCGCCUCCCCUGCUCCACCUUGUCGUAUAUGAUGUGGCAUGUUCUCUUGUCACGUCGCUUGGCUCUGUUCAUGGGGGGAAUAUUUAUCUCUCCCUGUCCUGCUGGGGUGAGAAUUCCCUAAACUGCUGCUGCCCCCUGACUUAAUGCUUUUCCAUGGUGCUAAUGGAAAUAGGGGGGUUCCUCCGAACAGAGCUAUACCGCCAAAUGUAAUUCAUAUUUUACAAUAAAGAAAUUUCAUUCAGAAUCUUCUCUUGUGUUUCUUGACUAAAAUGGUUCUGACAGAAAUGUAUUUAUGUAUGGA